RNAcentral lists this ribosomal RNA (498 nucleotides) under uncultured bacterium. RNAcentral's name for it is "partial 16S ribosomal RNA". It matches the Rfam family "Bacterial small subunit ribosomal RNA", at positions 28 to 523 of the family's 1533-position model. The record is from RNAcentral.
GAUGAACGCUAGCGGCAGGCCUAAUACAUGCAAGUCGAGGGAGAAUGUUGGAUUCGUCUGACAUGAAACCGGCGCACGGGUGCGUAACACGUAUGCAACCUACCUUUAACUGGGGUAUAGCUCAGAGAAAUCUGAAUUAAUCCCCCAUAAGACUACGACAUGGCAUCAUGAUGUAGUUAAAGCUCCGGCGGUUAAGGAUGGGCAUGCGGUACAUUAGCUAGUUGGUGAGGUAAUGGCUCACCAAGGCUACGAUGUAUAGGGGGUCUGAGAGGAUGAUCCCCCAAACUGGUACUGAGACACGGACCAGACUCCUACGGGAGGCAGCAGUAGGGAAGAUUGGUCAAUGGACGCAAGUCUGAACCAGCCAUGCCGCGUGAAGGAUGAAGGCCCUAUGGGUCGUAAACUUCUUUUAUUAGGGAAGAAAAAACGGGAUGCGUCCUGUACUGACGGUACUUAAUGAAUAAGGAUCGGCUAACUUCGUGCCAGCAGCCGCAGUAA